RNAcentral lists this ribosomal RNA (497 nucleotides) under uncultured bacterium. RNAcentral describes it as "partial 16S ribosomal RNA". It matches the Rfam family "Bacterial small subunit ribosomal RNA", at positions 28 to 507 of the family's 1533-position model. The record is from RNAcentral.
GAUGAACGCUGGCGGCGUGCCUAAUACAUGCAAGUCGAGCGAACAGAUGAGGAGCUUGCUCCUCUGACGUUAGCGGCGGACGGGCGAGUAACACGUGGAUAACCUACCUAUAAGACUGGGAUAACUUCGGGAAACCGGAGCUAAUACCGGAUAAUAUAUUGAACCGCAUGGUUCAAUAGUGAAAGACGGUUUUGCUGUCACUUAUAGAUGGAUCCGCGCCGCAUUAGCUAGUUGGUAAGGUAACGGCUUACCAAGGCAACGAUGCGUAGCCGACCUGAGAGGAUGAUCGGCCACACUGGAACUGAGACACGGUCCAGACUCCUACGGGAGGCAGCAGUAGGGAAUCUUCCGCAAUGGGCGAAAGCCUGACGGAGCAACGCCGCGUGAGUGAUGAAGGUCUUCGGAUCGUAAAACUCUGUUAUUAGGGAAGAACAAAUGUGUAAGUAACUAUGCACGUCUUGACGGUACCUAAUCAGAAAGCCACGGCUAACUACGUG